CAGUAGCCGCGGGAAUACGGAGGGUGCAAGCGUUAAUCGGAAUUACUGGGCGUAAAGCGCACGCAGGCGGUCUGUCAAGUCAGAUGUGAAAUCCCCGGGCUUAACCUGGGAACUGCAUUUGAAACUGGCAGGCUAGAGUCUUGUAGAGGGGGGUAGAAUUCCAGGUGUAGCGGUGAAAUGCGUAGAGAUCUGGAGGAAUACCGGUGGCGAAGGCGGCCCCCUGGACGAAGACUGACGCUCAGGUGCGAAAGCGUGGGGAGCAAACAGGAUUAGAUACCCGUGUAGUCCCUGUCUCUUAUAC
This 301-nucleotide ribosomal RNA is filed under the name uncultured bacterium. Its description in RNAcentral is "partial 16S ribosomal RNA". It matches the Rfam family "Bacterial small subunit ribosomal RNA", at positions 509 to 807 of the family's 1533-position model. The record is from RNAcentral.